UUUGGGAGAGCGAUCCUCACCACAGGGAUUUCAGAACGGAAGCGUUUGUCAGACUGAGAAGUGAGGCCUGACAGGGAGGAUCGUGGACCGUUUGCUCAGGGCUCUGCUGAGGGGCGUUGGCUGAGAGCACGGUUUCUCACAAGCUCGCAGAGAAAUGACUGCAGUGGAUGAGUCUAGAUAAAGAAAAUUCUAACGGUCUGCUCUAGCCCGGUCUAUGCAGGUCAGAUGGCAUUGCAGAGAAGACACAGGACGCCUGCAUUUGAAAUGAGGAGAGAAUACUCGCUUCCAAAUGCUGCGUCUGAGCACCGCUGGCAGGCACAUCAGCGAUGGAGACAGAUGCCAGCAGCCAGCCAGACCCCCAUGGCAGGGCUGCAUCUAAAGUGGAUCCAGUGUGCAGGUGCCUGAGCUCCAGGUCCCCGGUGAGCAGCUGCCCGAGCUCCAGCUCAGCUGUGGUCUGAGAUCACUUCAUGUGAUUUAAAUGAAAGAAGAGGGCAUGAAGGCUGAGGCAGACGGAUUACACCACAGAGGGGGCCACUGGCUGCUCCAGAUGAAGGUGAGAACAACGCAAGGUUCCCGCCAAAAUGCCCCGGGAAGAAAUUCCCUUCAGAGCCUGAAUCUGGCAAAAACUCCAACACCGUGUUAAUCGCCAUAGCUGGUUAAUCGCCAUAGCUGGAUUCGAUCAUCUGCCCUGGAAAUACACGGGAGGCAGCUGGCUCGGGCACAGCUUUAAAAGUAGAAGUGGUGCACACUGAUCUUAAGUCCUAACUUCGAGUUACUGUGAGACCUCGCAGAAUCUGUGUGCUUUCCUUCCCCAAAUAUGUAAAUGAUAUUUUAACAUGUAUGUGGAUGAAUUUGGCCUGAGAGCUACCUGGAAGAGAGGCGUAUGUUUUACUUUUAGAUAAUUAUUAAUGUUUUGUCAAAUAAUUCUAUUAACACAAUUUCUAGAUAAAUAUUUUGUAAUAAAGACAAGGGGGGGCCGGCCUGGUGGCAUAGUGUUUAAUUUCGUGUGCUCUGCCUUGGUGGCUCAGGGUUUGCGGUUCAGAUCCCUGGCGCGGACCUGCACACCGCUCAUCAGGCCAUGCUGUGCCGCAUACAAAGUAGAGGAAGACUGGCACAUAUGUUACCUCAAGGACAAUCUUCCUCAAGCAAAAAAAAAAAAAGACAAGGAAUAAAUUUAUAUUUUCUCCUUUGCCUCUCAGAAAUUCUCUUUGCUUUGCCAAAUAAAAUAGAAUAUAAUUUUUAAGCAAAAAA
This 1251-nucleotide long non-coding RNA is filed under the name Equus asinus (donkey). RNAcentral's name for it is "lncRNA (ENSEASG00005036919.1)". Lineage: Eukaryota; Metazoa; Chordata; Mammalia; Perissodactyla; Equidae. The record is from RNAcentral.